This 1230-nucleotide unclassified non-coding RNA is filed under the name Hevea brasiliensis (rubber tree). Lineage: Eukaryota; Viridiplantae; Streptophyta; Magnoliopsida; Malpighiales; Euphorbiaceae. The record is from RNAcentral.
GAAUAUAGAAGAGGAAGAAGCCAACACACAAUAAUCCAAAUUGUACACUUCAACUCAAUCAACUAACUAUAAGAAUAUACAACACUAAGUUGAUUUUUUAUUUCAGCCAUCAAUUGAGAAGUUGCAAGAGAUGACUACUCACAAAGCUCAUUGCUUGAUCUUGCCAUAUCCAGUCCAAGGUCAUAUCAACCCAAUGCUUCAAUUCUCCAAACGUUUACGAUCCAAACGCGUUAAAAUCACUAUAGCACUCACAAAAUCCUUUUUGAAAAACAUGAAGGAAUUGCCAACUUCUAUGUCAAUUGAGGCCAUAUCUGAUGGCUAUGAUGAUGGUGGUCGCGAUCAAGCAGGAUCUUUCGUGGCCUAUAUUACACGAUUCAAAGAAAUUGGUUCGGAUACUCUGUCUCAACUUAUUCAAAAAUUGGCAAUUAGUGGAUGUCCUGUAAAUUGCAUAGUAUAUGAUCCAUUCCUCCCUUGGGCUGUUGAAGUUGCAAAACAAUUUGGAUUGAUUAGUGCUGCAUUUUUUACACAAAAUUGUGUAGUGGAUAACAUUUAUUACCAUGUUCAUAAAGGGGUAAUAAAACUUCCCCCUACUCAAAAUGAUGAAAAAAUCAUAAUUCCUGGAUUUUCAAGUCCAAUUAAGGCAUCAGAUGUACCUAAUUUUGUUAUUAAUCCUGAAGGAGAAAGAAUACUUGAAAUGUUGGUGAAUCAAUUCUCAAAUCUUGACAAAGUAGAUUGGGUCCUAAUCAAUAGCUUUUAUGAGUUGGAGAAAGAGGUAAUUGAUUGGAUGUCGAAGAUAUAUCGAAUAAAGACAAUUGGACCAACAAUACCAUCAAAGUACUUGGACAAGAGACUACAUGAUGAUAAAGAGUAUGGGCUUAGUAUGUUCAAGCCAAUGACAAAUGAAUGCCUAAAUUGGUUAAACCAUCAACCAAUUAGCUCAGUGUUGUAUGUAUCAUUUGGAAGUUUAGCCAAACUAGGAAGUGAGCAAAUGGAAGAAUUGGCAUGGGGUUUGAAGAAUAGCAACAAGAGCUUCUUGUGGGUUGUUAGGUCUACUGAAGAGCCCAAACUCCCCAACAACUUUAUUGAGGAAUUAACAAGUGAAAAAGGCUUAGUGGUGUCAUGGUGUCCACAAUUACAAGUGUUGGAACAUGAGUCGAUAGGGUGUUUUCUGACGCACUGUGGAUGGAAUUCGACACUGGAAGCGAUUAGUUUGGGAGUGCCAAUGGUGGC